This 1071-nucleotide ribosomal RNA is filed under the name Triticum aestivum (bread wheat). RNAcentral describes it as "partial small subunit ribosomal RNA". Lineage: Eukaryota; Viridiplantae; Streptophyta; Magnoliopsida; Poales; Poaceae. The record is from RNAcentral.
AUGGCGGCCGCCUCAACGAGCUCGCCUCGAUCGACCGCAUGUUCCACGCCAUCGUCGUCGAUGUGCUCCCGGUACUCGUCGCCGACCCUGUCGCUGCUGUCCCGCUACGCCGUCUUCAUCCAGGCCUCCGCCCCCGCCGUCGGCGGCGACUUCGAGCACAGCGCCACGCUCAUCUGCCAGGACAUGAUCGCGUACGCCGACAACACCCGCCGACACCCCCCGCGACUCUCCGCCGCCGACCUGCUCCGCCGCCUGAAGAUGUUCCGCUUGGAGACAGUCACCAUCGCCGACCACGGCAUCAACGACGACAGCCACGUGUUGGCGUGGAUGAUGGGCCUCGACCACAUCCACGUGAACUCCUUCCGCCGCCUCGCGAGCCUUAGGGAGGAGGUCUUCGACGGCCCCCCCGCCGAGUACCGAGUCACCAUCGACGCCCUCCCCGCCUCCCACUCCUCCGCCCUCCUCGGCGUGGUGUACUUCGAGGGCGGCGCCAGCGACUGGAUCGUUCGCAACGCCGCCCGCCUCACUGCCCUGGCGAACGUCGACGUCUCCUUCCAGCUCAUCGGCCUCGGCCUCCUCCCCUUCCUCCACGACAACCCCACCAGCCAGCCAGCGCUUCGGUUCCUCGUCGACUACGUCCGCGACGUCAGGGAGAAGGUCGGAGCCAUGGGCGGCGAGUUCGUCACGCACGCCACUGACAUGUGUGACAACCUCAUUGCGAACGGCACGCGCCCCCUCCCGCCCCCGGAGAUGAGGAUGGUUACGGAGCAGCUGCGCCGGGAUCUCGAUGUCUUCAGAUCCCGCGACCUGUCCAUCCACGAGUCCGACUCCACCGGCGAGCCCACCUCAGGUUCGUCUGACGCCUCGGACUCCACCGGCGAGCCCGCCUCAGGUUCGUCUGACGCCUCGGACUCCACCGGCGAGCCCACCUCAGGUUCGUCUGACGCCUCGGACUCCACCGGCGAGCCCACCUCAGGUUCGUCUGACGCCUCGGACUCCACCGGCGAGCCCACCUCAGGUUCGUCUGAUGCCUCGGACUCCACCGGCGAGCCCACCUCAGGUUCGUCUUAG